UUGCAUGUUGUUCAUAAAAACCUAUUAUAAAACCAUUUAUUGAUACGAUUUUGAGCCUCAUUAAGUAUUAGGAACAAUAGUGUCAAUAGACUACUAUGGAGCAUUAGCAUUUUGAUCAGAUAUUUUUGUAAUAAAUCGAAAAAAUAUUCAAUUAACUGUGGAUUGUUUUGGUUCCAUUCACGUCUAUUGAUUUAUUGCAAGCCAGUGACCUGUUUUUCGUAUUUGUUAUGUGAAUCUCGUAAAUAAUUAAUAGUAAUCGUGAGAGGUCAGUGUUCGAGUAAUUAGUAAUGAUCCCUUGAAAGUGUGCUCGUAUAGUGUAUAAGAAUGACAAGAGAACAAAUAAUUGAGUUAUGUACCACUUGGUAAUUAGUUAAAAAUCUGUUAUUUCGUUAUGGUGUAUUAUCCACAAUGAUGACACCCAUAGAGGAGAGGAAAGAUGAAAAGAUCCGCACAGGCAUGGUGCAAGUGUCAGACGGCAAGUCGCGGCCACGGCUGGCGCGGCUCGUGCUCACCAUGGAAUCGGUGACGGUGCAGAGAGAGGUUGUCAUACCCCCGCAGCCGCCCCGAGACAAGAGUGUGCCUCAUGCUAGGGAGCGUAUGGUCCAAAUAACUCGACAGAAAGUUGGUGGAUUGGGGCUCAGUAUAAAGGGUGGGGCAGAACAUAAGUUGCCUAUACUCAUCUCCAAGAUAUACAAAGAUCAAGCAGCCGAUCAAACGGGUCAGCUUUUUGUGGGUGACGCCGUUAUUAAAGUGAACGGCGAGUACAUAACGGCGUGCAAGCACGACGACGCCGUGAACAUCCUGCGCAACGCGGGCGACAUCGUCGUGCUCACCGUCAAGCACUACCGCGCCGCCACGCCCUUCCUGCAGAAGCAAGGAACAGCGGAUGGCGCGUCCGAUACGGACAGUAGUACGGGAGACGAACACCCCUCUCUUCAUAAUAAAGUUGAUGCAAAUUGUAACAGCGAGCGUAACGGCGAAACGAAUGGGGGUUGGCAGAGCGCGUGGGCGGACGGCUCGGACGGCAGCCGGCCCGGCAGCGCGGCGGGCUCGGGCCGCUCGCGCCCGCCCUCCGCCGCGUCCGACCGCGCCGAGCGCGCCGACGCCGCGCGCGACUGGGUCGACGUCGUCUCCGUUCCUCUCAUGAUGGGUUACGUGACUCGAUACGUUUUCGGUACCGACAAACUAAGGCCAGGUGCUUUUGAGGUGCGCGGUGCGCGACCGCAGCAGAGCUCGGGCGUGGUGCACGUGGACGACCCCGCCGCGCUCUCGCACUGGCUGAAGAGCAUCGCCGACAACAUCACCGGCCUCACCAACCUGCAGAUGAAGCUGUUCAACCGGCACCUGGCGGGCGGCGAGCGCAUCGAGUACAUGGGCUGGGUGCACGAGGGGCUGGUGUCGGCGGCGCAGCCCUGGCAGAGCUACCGGCCGCGCUUCCUCGUGCUCAAGGGCACCGACGUGAUGCUGUUCGACGUGCCGCCCGCCAGCGUGGCCGAGCUGGCCAAGUGCCCCGAAACGCUCAAGGUGUACCAGACCAUGUUCCGCACCGUGAAGGAGAGCGAGACGGUGGACUGGCGGCAGCACUGCUUCCUGCUGCAGUCCAGCGCCGGCAGCCUGGCCGCGCCCGGCCCGCGGUACUUCAGCGCCGAGACGCGCCACGACCUGCUGCGCCUCGACGCCGCCUGGACCAACAACGUCGUGGCCUCCGUCGUGCGCCUCGGGAAGAAGACGUUCACGGUGGUGCACAUGGGCCGAGCCGCCGGGCUCACGCUGGACUGGUCGGCGGGCUUCUCCCUCAGCGAGGGCACGCCGGGCGCCGCCCCCGUCUGGUCGUACAGAUUUUCUCAGUUGAGAGGAUCGAGCGACGAUGGAAAAUCUAAAUUGAAAUUACACUUCCAAGACACCGAAACGAAAGUUAUCGAAACUAAGGAGUUAGAAUGUCAGAUCCUCCAGAGCCUGCUGUUCUGCAUGCACGCCUUCCUCACCGCGAAAGUGGCAUCCGUCGACCCCGCCUUCCUGGCCUCCAUACAGCAAGCCCACUAGACCGGCACUGCCCGGAGUUACGUACUUGGUAUAUGAUUAAUAACUCGACUAAGGUAACUUGAAAACGGAACGGAAAGGUUAUUAUCCAAAUAAGAAAUAUGUGCAAAAAUUGUUUCAAGAUUUAAAUUAAACAUUAAUAUAUGAAUAUAAUUAAGUUCGUUACUAAUUUGUAAGUGAUUCCGAUUAAAAUAAAUGGGACCACUGUUAUAAUAGUAUUGCAGUAUCGAUCAGUCUUUUUUUCUUCAGUCUAUCCUGUAAUAGUGUAAGGUUUUAAGCAUGUAACUUUCUAACUUUUGUAACUUUCCAUAAAAAAACAAUAUAAAAAUACAGAUUAUCUUGUACACAAUAUCAUAAUAAAAAUAUUAUAUGAAAAAGUAAUUACAGGAUCAGCAAUUUUUUUUUAUCUGUCAAAUUUAUCGAGUCAUUGUGUACAACAGAAUUUGUACCAUUUUCAAUCAAGGAUAAUCUACUGUCUUGUUGUAUUAGUAUAGUGUAACUACAGACGUAUGUAUUUUCUAACGAUAAAAGUUUCGUAAACGUCAGAGAUGACGUCAUAUCUCGCCUGGCUGUCUAUUACAAUGGAUGGAUCCGUUUUCACGUUAAUUAAUAAUUUCUCAUUUAGUUCCGAUACAACUUGUGUGGUGUGAAAUGAAAAAAUUGUAUAGAACGAUAUGUAACAAUUCUUGUACUAGCUAGUUGUUAACGCCUAGUUAUUUAUGACUAUUGUUGAUUAUGUAACUAAAAUGUAUCCAUUAGUAAAAUUUUAA
Nymphalis io (European peacock) is the source of this 2810-nucleotide RNA transcript. It is a transcript of the gene named gamma-1-syntrophin, with no coding region annotated. The transcript has 13 exons. NCBI's taxonomy places the organism in Eukaryota, Metazoa, Arthropoda, Insecta, Lepidoptera, Nymphalidae. The record is from RefSeq and is a predicted model, not a curated record.